This 309-nucleotide unclassified non-coding RNA is filed under the name plant metagenome. RNAcentral's name for it is "partial contains 5.8S ribosomal RNA, internal transcribed spacer 2, and large subunit ribosomal RNA". The stretch from base 1 to 105 matches the Rfam family "5.8S ribosomal RNA", at positions 50 to 154 of the family's 154-position model. The record is from RNAcentral.
GAAAUGCGAUACGUAGUGUGAAUUGCAGAAUUCAGUGAAUCAUCGAAUCUUUGAACGCACAUUGCGCCCCUUGGUCUUCCAUGGGGUAUGCCUGUUCGAGCGUCAUUUGUACCCUCAAGCUCUGCUUGGUGUUGGGUGUUUGUCCCGUCUCCGCGCGUGGACUCGCCCCAAAGUGAUUGGCAGCCGGCGUACUGGUCCCGGAGCGCAGCACAUGUCGCGCAAACGAGUGCCUUGGUACGGCGGCGUCCAUAAGCCCCUCUCUCACGCUCUUGACCUCGGAUCAGGUAGGGAUACCCGCUGAACUUAAGC